GACGAACGCUGGCAGCGUGCCUAAUACAUGCAAGUAGAACGCUGAAGGAGGAGCUUGCUCUUCUGGAUGAGUUGCGAACGGGUGAGUAACGCGUAGGUAACCUGCCUGGUAGCGGGGGAUAACUAUUGGAAACGAUAGCUAAUACCGCAUAACAGUAGAUGUUGCAUGACAUUUACUUGAAAGGUGCAAUUGCAUCACUACCAGAUGGACCUGCGUUGUAUUAGCUAGUUGGUGGGGUAACGGCUCACCAAGGCGACGAUACAUAGCCGACCUGAGAGGGUGAUCGGCCACACUGGGACUGAGACACGGCCCAGACUCCUACGGGAGGCAGCAGUAGGGAAUCUUCGGCAAUGGACGGAAGUCUGACCGAGCAACGCCGCGUGAGUGAAGAAGGUUUUCGGAUCGUAAAGCUCUGUUGUAAGAGAAGAACGAGUGUGAGAGUGGAAAGUUCACACUGUGACGGUAUCUUACCAGAAAGGGACGGCUAACUACGUG
RNAcentral lists this ribosomal RNA (495 nucleotides) under uncultured bacterium. RNAcentral's name for it is "partial 16S ribosomal RNA". It matches the Rfam family "Bacterial small subunit ribosomal RNA", at positions 28 to 507 of the family's 1533-position model. The record is from RNAcentral.